Molecule: long non-coding RNA, 1871 nt
Organism: Coregonus clupeaformis (lake whitefish)
Lineage: Eukaryota; Metazoa; Chordata; Actinopteri; Salmoniformes; Salmonidae
Exons: 4
Source: RefSeq, a predicted model, not a curated record
GAACAGCUGGAUAGGGGAAACAGCUCGAGUCGUACAAAAUGGAAUAUAACGAUGCGGAUGAAGUUCGGAAUGACACAAUUUCAUGUGAACAACAUCUAAAGACCUGCAUCACCAUACUGAGAGUGUUUCCGUUUUGUUCAUGUUUUUCCCGAGCCCCUGUACUGCACAACAAGGAUGAGGAAGUGAAUCACUGGUUGAGAUGUACAUACAGUAUGUCAUAUGAAGAGGGCUUGUGCCGGUGGUUGUGUGAAAGACCUCAUGAGAACAGGUGCCCUGAUGUCUUCAGAUUGGACAAGUGAAAGAUUGGAAAAGACUAUCGUCACCAGACAGGGCUUUUAUGUCUCAGAUGUUGCUCCGUCUUCAUGUUUGGACGGGUUUGACAUGACAAGUUUGCAGAUGAUGAAAGGGGAAACCAACCUUUGAUAGUGGACUGAUCCGAGUUGGCACUGUGGUUGGGAACGUAGUAGUCCAUGCUAUCUCUUCUGCUCUGCCCAGUCCAGCCUGUCAUGGUGGGGUACUGAUCACAGGUCAUCUAGGGUUUGGCUGCUUUGCAGAGCCAGUUAUCAGUCAUACUGAAAACCACUAACUAGACUAGAGGAUGAAUACUAUUUAAUGCAUCACUCUUUCCUUCUUCUCGUGUAAUCAUGUAUGAAGUGAAAGGGUGGAUUGUUCCUUUGCCUGUCUAAGAUCAGUGAUAACUUUGUACGGAAGUAAAGGAUGCAUUGCAAAGCUAUUUGAACAGGGCCAGCCUCGCCUAGUGGUCAAAUCAGUGUGGACACAACAAUCACCCUUCAAAGGCUCACAGUCCACUGCUGUUUAUAGUCAACAAAGACAAGACCUUCACCAACUGUGAUUUCCUAGGUCCUCUCAUGCACUGCACAACAAAAGGCUUUCUGUCACAUACUGUACUGUACACUUGAAAUAUCUGUUGUGACUUCAUUGAUUAUUUCUGGUGCAUUACAACACAGAGGCUGAGUCUUUACACUUAAUCAGGCCUGUCUAAUCACCUGAUACUGGAAGAUCUGGUAUCCUCUCCCUAUCUGAGCUCCAUUGAGAUGUGUGGCACUUUCAGGAUCCCAUGACCUAAGUACAUGUAACACAUUCAUUAACCAUUAAGUCAUUUUCACUUCUGAGUGGUAUUGUGAAAACCCCUUAAACUGUGUAACCCUACAUGACACUAAGGCGGCGUUUACACAGGCAGCUCAAUUCUGAUAUUUUCAAUGAAUUGGUCUUUUGCCUAAUCAGAUCAGCUCUUUUGCCAAUAAUUGGGCAAAAGAUCAGACAUGGGCUGCCUGUGUAAACGCAUGCUUUUUGGGGAAGGAUGUGAACAGACAACUCAUAGAAUCAUGGAAGAUUACAAAAGUUACACUGAACAGCAUUGGCAGAGUAGGGGUUAGCCUGUGAUAGUGGGAUGCCCCUAAUUAGAAAACUAAUGUUUGACGCAGGGUGGAUUUGAUCUUACCUAGUUUCACUUUGAAGACUUACUGAAAAAUAAUAUAUAAUAUAUACUUCCUCUCUCACAGGACAGCUAUGCCUUGUGGCACAGUACCUGUAUCUUGGGAGGGAGGAGGGGUGAUGGGCUUUUAGCAUGCACCCUAAACACCAAUUAGACGUCAAUAAUGAAGAGGCAGGAGGAGGGAAGGAGCGACCAAUCUCUCUGAGGCCCCACAGGGCCCAAGGCCCCCAGGUCUCUCUUCUUUAACAUGGGCUUUUUCUGGGCUUUCGCGACACUCUGACAGCAAUUAUCUCCUUACCAUUUACAUGUGAACAAAAAGAAGGAAAAAUAACAGAUAAGAAUAAAUGUCAGACAUGCUUUUAAGUAAUGUACCCAGUAGGUCCCUCAGGUCCUCUGGCACUGGCCUUUUAACUAU